CGAGUACAGCGCCCCUAUGAGCCGGUCACCUUCUCAAAGCCCCGCCGUGUGUGCCUGAGGCUCCGGGAGGGGCGACCUCUGGAUAUAAACCACAGCACCGUGAUACGCACGAAAGAGUGAAUGAUUAACAGCUAAUGUCUACUAAUCAGUGGAAUGAUCAGCGCACAGAAAUAAUUAAGGGACUGUCCCAGGACGUUUCUUGGAGGGCCUGCAAUGGGCAUUGGUAACCAGGAGUCCUAGAAACCUGUGUGAGCCUCAGGUUUGCAGCGGUACUGCCAGAUUCUGGAUAAGCCACAAGGACAGCGGGGC
Molecule: long non-coding RNA, 309 nt
Filed under: Chinchilla lanigera (long-tailed chinchilla)
Lineage: Eukaryota; Metazoa; Chordata; Mammalia; Rodentia; Chinchillidae
Description: lncRNA (ENSCLAG00000029309.1)
Source: RNAcentral